ACUCAUAUAGGUGCAAAGUUAUCAUCAAUAGAAACGAAUUAAGUUCAAACAGCAGGUAAUUGCUAUAAGUCGUUGAAGAGUUCCCUCGACUAUCUUUCGUCUCCAUCAUCAGACUGAAAUGGUACUUAUAACUCAUAUAUAUGCAAAGUUCUCAUCAAUAGAAACGAAUUAAGUUCAAACAGCAGGUAAUUGAUAUAAAUCGUUAAAGAGUUCCCUCGACUAUCUUUUGUCUCCAUCAUCAGACUGUAAUGGCACUUAUAAC
Molecule: unclassified non-coding RNA, 262 nt
Filed under: Melitaea cinxia (Glanville fritillary)
Lineage: Eukaryota; Metazoa; Arthropoda; Insecta; Lepidoptera; Nymphalidae
Description: misc RNA ENSMCXG00005006439.1
Source: RNAcentral